GGAUGUGAGGGCAAUCUGGCUGUGACAUCUGUCACUCCAUUGAUUGCCAGGGUUGAUUCAGCUGAUCUGGCUGGCUAGGUGGGUGUCCCCAUCCUUCUCACUGCUCCGUGUGUGUCCCUCCCAAAGCGGUGUGCUCAGCGGAAGAGGACCACCUCCCCUGAAUGGAGGAGGAUUUGUCUUUGGUCAAGGCUAUAAGAGUAGCUGUGCUCCCCUGCUACAACCUCCAAACAAGCUGUCAAUAGAGAAAACUAGGCAGGAGAGCCCAAGCUAACAGUUCUGCUUCCCAGCCUGGCUGUAAAG
Molecule: small nuclear RNA, 300 nt
Filed under: Jaculus jaculus (lesser Egyptian jerboa)
Lineage: Eukaryota; Metazoa; Chordata; Mammalia; Rodentia; Dipodidae
Description: 7SK RNA (ENSJJAG00000008096.1)
Rfam family: 7SK RNA
About the family: 7SK was discovered as an abundant small nuclear RNA in the mid-70s but a possible function has only recently been suggested. Two independent studies have found that 7SK RNA binds the CDK9/cyclin T complex (known as elongation factor P-TEFb). P-TEFb activates transcription by phosphorylating the C-terminal domain of RNA polymerase II.
Source: Rfam by way of RNAcentral